RNAcentral lists this ribosomal RNA (374 nucleotides) under uncultured organism. RNAcentral describes it as "partial 16S ribosomal RNA". It matches the Rfam family "Bacterial small subunit ribosomal RNA", at positions 527 to 896 of the family's 1533-position model. The record is from RNAcentral.
GGAGGGGGCCAGCGUUAUUCGGAAUUAUUGGGCGUAAAGGGCGCGUAGGCGGCUUGGUAAGUUGAAGGUGAAAUCCCUCGGCCCAACCGAGGAAUUGCCUUCGAAACUGCCUCGCUCGAGGCCGGGAGAGGGUAGCGGAAUUCCCAGUGUAGCGGUGAAAUGCGUAGAUAUUGGGAGGAACACCAGUGGCGAAGGCGGCUACCUGGACCGGUUCUGACGCUGAGGCGCGAAAGCGUGGGGAGCAAACAGGAUUAGAUACCCUGGGUAGUCCACGCUGUAAACGAUGGGCACUCGGUGCUGCGGGUAUCGACCCCCCUGCGGUGCCUUAGCUAACGCGUUAAGUGCCCCGCCUGGGGAGUACGGUCGCAAGGCUG